AAUUUUUCUCCUUCCUGUUCAUCGAGACCAGAAUUUAGUAGUUCUUCUAUUUGUUCCUCUGAUAUUGGGGCGCCUGUGUCGAAGGCUGUUUCUUGAGAAGAAUAUUUUGGUUUGACGGGGACGUUCACUGUAAGUUUUUCCUUAAUCAACUUCAAGUCCAAAAUGCAAUUAUCAAGUAAACUUUUUGGAGGAUUGGUGUAACGUGUUAAGUAAAUAUUUGGUUGAGGAAGAUCGCCUUCUGGUGAAUUUGCAUAAUAACUGAUAGCUUGUUGAAGUCUAUGUGGUAUCAUACUAAAGGUAUUUUCGGGCUCAAAAGGAGGAUUGAACCCACAAUCAGAGGAAUCUAAAUCCAUAUUAUCGAUAUAAUUACUUACGGCAAAAUCAAUUUGUCGCAUAUCCUCUUCAUUUGACAGUUUCUCGAACUCUGAGAAAGAAUAAGGCCGAACAUCUUCAGCGAAUGGAAGUUGUAU
Molecule: non-coding RNA, 470 nt
Organism: Schizosaccharomyces pombe (fission yeast)
Lineage: Eukaryota; Fungi; Ascomycota; Schizosaccharomycetes; Schizosaccharomycetales; Schizosaccharomycetaceae
Source: the annotation of a GenBank genome assembly